RNAcentral lists this small nuclear RNA (127 nucleotides) under Fulmarus glacialis (Northern fulmar). Its description in RNAcentral is "U1 spliceosomal RNA". It matches the Rfam family "U1 spliceosomal RNA", at positions 1 to 127 of the family's 166-position model. From Rfam's summary of the family: U1 is a small nuclear RNA (snRNA) component of the spliceosome (involved in pre-mRNA splicing). The record is from Rfam by way of RNAcentral. Lineage: Eukaryota; Metazoa; Chordata; Aves; Procellariiformes; Procellariidae.
GCACUUACCUGGCAGGGGAGACACCAUGAUCAGGCAGGUGGGUUUCCCAGGACGAGGCUCAUCCCCUGCACUCCGGGUGUGCUGACCCCUGCGAUUUCCCCAAAUGCGGGAAACUAAGUUUGCAGAC